GACGAACGCUGGCGGCGUGCUUAACACAUGCAAGUCGAACGGAAAGGCCCCUUUGGGGGUACUCGAGUGGCGAACGGGUGAGUAACACGUGAGUAACCUGCCCUUGACUUCGGGAUAACUUCAGGAAACUGGGGCUAAUACCGGAUAGGCAUCCUUGCUGCAUGGUGGGGGUUGGAAAGCUUCGGCGGUGUUGGAUGGACUCGCGGCUUAUCAGCUUGUUGGUGGGGUAGUGGCUUACCAAGGCUUUGACGGGUAGCCGGGCUGAGAGGGCGACCGGCCACAUUGGGACUGAGAUACGGCCCAGACCCCUACGGGAGGCAGCAGUGGGGAAUAUUGCACAAUGGGCGGAAGCCGGAUGCAGCAACGCCGCGGGCGGGAUGACGGCCUUCGGGUUGUAAACCGCUUGCAGCAGGGGCGAAGCUUGUGGUGACGGUACCUGCAGAAGAAGCACCGGCUAACUACGUG
Molecule: ribosomal RNA, 465 nt
Filed under: uncultured bacterium
Lineage: Bacteria
Description: partial 16S ribosomal RNA
Rfam family: Bacterial small subunit ribosomal RNA
Source: RNAcentral